RNAcentral lists this long non-coding RNA (1044 nucleotides) under Homo sapiens (human). RNAcentral's name for it is "HSALNT0307972". The record is from RNAcentral. Lineage: Eukaryota; Metazoa; Chordata; Mammalia; Primates; Hominidae.
UCAGUGCUGUUCUCAUAAUAGUGAAUAAGUCUCACAAUUUCUGAUGGCUUUAUAAAGCGGAGUUCCCCAGCACAUGAGCUCUCUUGCCUGCCUACAUGUAAGACAUCACUUUGCUCCUCGUUGCCUUCCUCCAUGAUUGUGAGGCCUCCCCAGCCAUGUGGAACUGUGGCAGAAACCGUGAUUGUAUUUUUUUUUCUUUUUAUGUGCCCUGUUAAGCCUUGGAAAACAAAGAUAAAAUCUGAGCUUCCUGCAAGUUUUACCUACUCAGCCACUUACUUUCCAGGAUCCUUCAUCAUGAAAGCAAUUGUAUGGGGUAAGAGAUUGGAGUUAGUGCAGGAAACAAGAAAAGAUAAAACUAGAGCCUCACCAAGGGAACAGCCCCAGACCAGGUAUAUUGGGGGCAAGAGGAAGGCGUUAAAGAUGAAAUGGAGUUUAAAGACAAACAAGUUUUAGGUGCACAGUGACCAUGCAAUGCUCCAAAGCCAGGCGAGUAUGAUAUAACCCAUUAAAUUUUCUCUUGCUUUGGUUGUUAGGAAGCCGAAUAUUAUGCGUUUAUUGUUUAUUACCAUAAAUACCUCUGUGUGAACUCUGUUCCCAGGUAUACAAGAUGCAUGGCAGUGGUGGUUGGAGAAAAUUGCCAUGGGAUUGGCACAUGGAUUGGCACUGAGCACAGGGAUAUGAAACUUCAUGCUCAUGAUUGCAAUUCAGGAAGCCAAAGGGCAAAGGAAGUAUUGUAUGGGGUUUGUGAUCUAAGUAUUAAGAAACCAAAAUGCAAAUACUAAUAAACAUGGAACCAAAAAGACUUUAUGUAUGGAGCAGUGCAAAGCUGGUACAAGAGCUGUGAAUCCUCAAGAAUGCAACCUCUACUGUGGGAGAAAUUGAGGCCCUACAAGGUUAGAUGACUUGCUCAGGAUCAACAAUUGUUAAAUGUCAGAGCAGGGAUUCAGAACCAGGACAUAUGACUCCAAGUCUAAUAUUCAUUCCACCAUGUAUCACCGUGGCCUUUUCCUGUCUUGAGCCUACAUUAGAAUUGAAGUCUCAAAC